RNAcentral lists this ribosomal RNA (253 nucleotides) under uncultured bacterium. RNAcentral describes it as "partial 16S ribosomal RNA". It matches the Rfam family "Bacterial small subunit ribosomal RNA", at positions 524 to 776 of the family's 1533-position model. The record is from RNAcentral.
UACGUACCGUCCAAACGUUAUUCGGAUUUACUGGGCUUAAAGGGUGCGUAGGCGGCUCAGAAAGUCGGGUGUGAAAGCCCUCGGCUUAACCGAGGAAUUGCGCUCUAAACUACUGGGCUUGAGGAACGCAGAGGUAAGCGGAACUUACGGUGGAGCGGUGAAAUGCGUUGAUAUCGUAAGGAACACCAGGAGCGAAAGCGGCUUACUGGGCGUUUUCUGACGCUGAGGCACGAAAGCUAGGGGAGCGAACGGG